CUUAGGGAAGCACUGCGGUCAGCCAGAAGUUCUUGGACAGACGGUGGGAGUUAAGUGCAUGAAAUCCAACACUCCGUGUCAUAUACCAGAGGAAUUUGUUGCUAAUCGAGCCUAUCUGCAGCAUGGGAACCAACGAGUGAGGGCUGAAACCAAGGCUGUCAGACUCACUUCACUUACUGGUUAUGAAAUGGGACAAAACAGACCCAGAGUCACACGGAAACAUGAGCACGGCGGUGACACGGCCUUCCAUGCACAGCGUCAGCACUAAAAACAGCAUAUAGAUGGUUUGGGAAGUUAUAAACACCGACCUCAUGAUUCUAUUCUGGGUUGGUCCUAUGACAAAAAGGGGAAAAAAAUAACCAAAUGAAAACAGUGACAACAAAAACCCAACGGAAGAGCCCAAAGCAAUGGGCAGCACUGCUCAGGGCCCACUGUGCUGGCUGUGGGAUGGAGCUGGGGCCACUGACUGACAGCAGCACAGCUGCAGCUCCAGCAGCACAGCACUUCAG
Gallus gallus (chicken) is the source of this 509-nucleotide long non-coding RNA. NCBI's taxonomy places the organism in Eukaryota, Metazoa, Chordata, Aves, Galliformes, Phasianidae. The record is from Ensembl.